This 317-nucleotide unclassified non-coding RNA is filed under the name Hevea brasiliensis (rubber tree). Lineage: Eukaryota; Viridiplantae; Streptophyta; Magnoliopsida; Malpighiales; Euphorbiaceae. The record is from RNAcentral.
AGAACAUAUAUUUACUGGUUCCGUGUCAUCCCUUGCUUGGUUCAUGUCAGCUCAGGAAAUGAGUUUUGUAACCCUAGGACAGCGUGUAUUAGCCAACCCCCUGAAAAUCCGAAUGCAUUAUGGACAUCCAGAUGUAUUUGACAGGUUUUGGUUUCUAACUAGGGGAGGAAUAAGCAAGGCAUCUAAAGUGAUCAACAUCAGCGAGGACAUUUUUGCUGGCUUCAACUGUACAUUACGAGGUGGCAAUGUCACUCACCAUGAGUAUAUACAAGUUGGCAAAGGAAGGGAUGUUGGGUUGAAUCAGAUAUCUAUGUUUG